UACGGAGGGUGCGAGCGUUAAUCGGAAUUACUGGGCGUAAAGGGUGCGUAGGUGGUUUGUUAAGUUAUGUGUAAAAUCCCUGGGCUCAACCUGGGCAUGCCAUAUAAAACUGACAAACUCGAGUAUGGGAGAGGGUAGUGGAAUUUCCGGUGUAGCGGUGAAAUGCGUAGAGAUCGGAAGGAACACCGGUGGCGAAGGCGGCUACCUGGCCUAAUACUGACACUGAGGCACGAAAGCGUGGGGAGCAAACAGG
Molecule: ribosomal RNA, 253 nt
Filed under: uncultured bacterium
Lineage: Bacteria
Description: partial 16S ribosomal RNA
Rfam family: Bacterial small subunit ribosomal RNA
Source: RNAcentral